Molecule: ribosomal RNA, 605 nt
Filed under: Bacillus sp. (in: firmicutes)
Lineage: Bacteria; Bacillati; Bacillota; Bacilli; Caryophanales; Bacillaceae
Description: bacterial SSU rRNA
Rfam family: Bacterial small subunit ribosomal RNA
Source: RNAcentral
AAGACUGGGAUAACUCCGGGAAACCGGGGCUAAUACCGGAUGGUKGUCUGAACCGCGUGGUUCAGACAUAAAAGGUGGCUUCGGSUACSACUUACAGAUGGACCCGCGGCGSAUUAGCUAGUUGGUGAGGUAACGGSUCACCAAGGCGACGAUGCGUAGCCGACCUGAGAGGGUGAUCGGCCACACUGGGACUGAGACACGGCCCAGACUCCUACGGGAGGCAGCAGUAGGGAAUCUUCCGCAAUGGACGAAAGUCUGACGGAGCAACGCCGCGUGAGUGAUGAAGGUUUUCGGAUCGUAAAGCUCUGUUGUUAGGGAAGAACAAGUGCCGUUCAAAUAGGGCGGCACCUUGACGGUACCUAACCAGAAAGCCACGGCUAACUACGUGCCAGCAGCCGCGGUAAUACGUAGGUGGCAAGCGUUGUCCGGAAUUAUUGGGCGUAAAGGGCUCGCAGGCGGUUUCUUAAGUCUGAUGUGAAAGCCCCCGGCUCAACCGGGGAGGGUCAUUGGAAACUGGGGAACUUGAGUGCAGAAGAGGAGAGUGGAAUUCCACGUGUAGCGGUGAAAUGCGUAGAGAUGUGGAGGAACACCAGUGGCGAAGGCGA